Molecule: long non-coding RNA, 1481 nt
Organism: Spinacia oleracea (spinach)
Lineage: Eukaryota; Viridiplantae; Streptophyta; Magnoliopsida; Caryophyllales; Amaranthaceae
Exons: 3
Source: RefSeq, a predicted model, not a curated record
UUAAAUUACGAAUAAUCGAAUUUCGUUAUUUUAAUCGUUUUUACGAAUUAUUUUAAACGAUAAAUUUAUAAACCGAAUUAUUUAUUUUCGUUAACGAUAAAUUAUUUAUUUUUAAGGAAUUAUUUUAAUUAAACAUUUUAUUACAAAUUCUGAAUUUUUUUCCAAAUAUUGUGAAUUUAUUAUUAAAAAAAAAAAAAAAAAAGAUGUCAGCUUUAUUUUCUUGCUCCCCACGCUCAAACCAGGAAGUUUUGACUUCCUCUCCUUCCCUCAAAUCAGUCCAUGUUCAAUUCCUUGAGCCCCAAGGUCUUCCCCUUCUAGAAUCCUUUCAAAAAAAUUACAAAAAUUCCUUCAAUUUCUGAUAAAUUUCAAUACCAAAAUCAAUCCACAAAAUUGAAAACAAUCCUUCCUUAUUCUCCCUAAAAUCGAACCACCACCGCCUCCGGCAGCCACCACCACCACCGUCUACCGUCACCCACCUUCACCACCUAUCAGUCGCAAACGCCCCCAGCCACCGAACACCACCACUCCACCACAACUCCCUCAUCUGCUCUCUUCGCACUCCCCUGUUCCCCUCCCCUGUUUUCUUCUUUCUUCGCCGCCCCACACCACCUCUAUCACACCCCACCAACGACCAACAUCACCAUCCCACACACCAACCUCCGCCGCCCUAUUUCACCAACGAGCCACCCCCCAACUCCUCCCAGAACCGCCGCAAACCACCACACAAAAUCUCCCCUGCCUUUCCCUCCUUCGCGCAACCCACCACCCAUUCCCUCGCUGCUCCGCCGCCGAGAACCACCCACCAUCGCCGUCGCAUCAAUCGGCGUCACCCACCUCAGCCAGCCGCCCUUCCUCCCUCCUCUUUCUCCUCCUCCUCGUUCGCCCCUUUACCUUCCCCUACUCGUGCCCUUUUUCAGAAACCAAAGAACCAGAAACUUUGGUUUCUAAUUUUUGGUCUUAAUUCUCCUUAAAAUCCCACAUUAAAAAUUUGGGCCAUAAUCCCUUUGGGCUUUUGGAAAUUGGACUCGGAGCUCAGGACGAACGAACCAACGAAAAUCCCUUAGCAAAGUCGCAGAAUUAAGGUACCGCUGGGAACGAUGGGAACGAGUAGUGGCGAGGAUUUCACUUUAAUAAUUCCCACCUAGUUUAUGCCUUAAGUUUUAAUAGUUUAAUUACAGACUUUUAGUAAUUUAUGCACCUUUAUUUUGGUAAUAUUAAAGAUUAUUAUAUUAAUUUUUGGGAUUUAAUAUCUUAUGAUUGAUGGUUGCCUUGUAAUUCCCAAGAGGGAGUUACGACAGGUAAUGCCCCGACCAAUUAGGUUAAUUCCGCUGCUAAUUAUGCUUUAAUAAUGUAAUUAGAGGUCGGGGUGUUACAUGUAAAAUUAAGGAUUUAAGUAAAAAUCCACGCCACUUAUAGCGCUAAAGAUAUUGCAGUGCUAAUUAUUAUUUAUUGCACAUUUUUAUUAUAUAAUCUAAAUUUAA